CAGGCCUAACACAUGCAAGUCGAGCGCCCCGCAAGGGGAGCGGCAGACGGGUGAGUAACGCGUGGGAAUCUACCUAGCUCUACGGAAUAACCCAGGGAAACUUGGACUAAUACCGUAUACGCCCUUCGGGGGAAAGAUUUAUCGGAGUUGGAUGAGCCCGCGUUGGAUUAGCUAGUUGGUGGGGUAAUGGCCUACCAAGGCGACGAUCCAUAGCUGGGCUGAGAGGAUGAUCAGCCACACUGGGACUGAGACACGGCCCAGACGCCUACGGGAGGCAGCAGUGGGGAAUAUUGGACAAUGGGCGAAAGCCUGAUCCAGCCAUGCCGCGUGAGUGAUGAAGGCCCUAGGGUUGUAAAGCGCUUGACACCGGUGAAGAUAAUGACGUGAACCGGAGAAGAAGCCCCGGCUAACUGCGUGCCAGCAGCCGCG
This 429-nucleotide ribosomal RNA is filed under the name uncultured bacterium. RNAcentral's name for it is "bacterial SSU rRNA". It matches the Rfam family "Bacterial small subunit ribosomal RNA", at positions 43 to 519 of the family's 1533-position model. The record is from RNAcentral.